RNAcentral lists this microRNA precursor (84 nucleotides) under Bombyx mori (domestic silkworm). RNAcentral describes it as "mir-2807 microRNA precursor family". It matches the Rfam family "mir-2807 microRNA precursor family". The record is from Rfam by way of RNAcentral. Lineage: Eukaryota; Metazoa; Arthropoda; Insecta; Lepidoptera; Bombycidae.
UUAACUCAUAUUUGUAUGGAGUCGAAACGUUUGCCUACAUUUGCCGCUAGGGGCGCUGUUCCAACUGUAUACAAAAUUGUGUUA